Molecule: ribosomal RNA, 857 nt
Filed under: uncultured bacterium
Lineage: Bacteria
Description: bacterial SSU rRNA
Rfam family: Bacterial small subunit ribosomal RNA
Source: RNAcentral
UACGGAGGGUGCAAGCGUUAAUCGGAAUUACUGGGCGUAAAGCGUGCGUAGGUGGUUUGUUAAGUUAGAUGUGAAAGCCCUGGGCUCAACCUAGGAACUGCAUUUAAAACUGGCAAACUAGAGUAUAGGAGAGGAAAGUGGAAUUUCAGGUGUAGCGGUGAAAUGCGUAGAUAUCUGAAGGAACAUCAAUGGCGAAGGCAGCUUUCUGGACUAAUACUGACACUGAGGUACGAAAGCGUGGGUAGCAAACAGGAUUAGAUACCCUGGUAGUCCACGCCGUAAACGAUGACAACUAGCCGUUGGGAGGAUUUACCUCUUAGUGGCGAAGCUAACGCGUUAAGUUGUCCGCCUGGGGAGUACGGCCGCAAGGUUAAAACUCAAAGGAAUUGACGGGGACCCGCACAAGCGGUGGAGCAUGUGGUUUAAUUCGAUGCAACGCGAAGAACCUUACCUGGUCUUGACAUACACGGAACUUUCCAGAGAUGGAUUGGUGCCUUCGGGAACCGUGAUACAGGUGCUGCAUGGCUGUCGUCAGCUCGUGUCGUGAGAUGUUGGGUUAAGUCCCGUAACGAGCGCAACCCUUAUCCUUAUUUGCCAGCACAUCAUGGUGGGAACUAUAAGGAGACUGCCGGUGAUAAACCGGAGGAAGGCGGGGACGACGUCAAGUCAUCAUGGCCCUUACGACCAGGGCUACACACGUGCUACAAUGGGAAGGACAAAGGGUUGCUAAGCCGCGAGGUGGUGCUAAUCUCAUAAACCUUUUCGUAGUCCGGAUCGGAGUCUGCAACUCGACUCCGUGAAGUCGGAAUCGCUAGUAAUCGUAGAUCAGAACGCUACGGUGAAUACGUUCCCGGGUC